Non-coding RNA from Clostridium sp. CAG:628, 353 nucleotides. Lineage: Bacteria; Bacillati; Bacillota; Clostridia; Eubacteriales; Clostridiaceae. The record is from Rfam.
GGGGCUGUAUUGAUUCGACAGAGUAGUUGUACGUAUGGAUACAAGUAGUAGGCGUACUUAAAACGCAAAAUAAAAUAAUCGGAAACGAUUUUAAUUUUGCUCCUAGUUUUGCCUAAUUAAUGGUACUGGAGGUUCAGUUUAUUCUUUGUCCAUGAGAAUAAGUGCUGGACUCAUAAAAAUGGACUAUACUAUAUAAUUGUUUAGGUUAUAUAAUGAAAUUAUUCUAAACUUAUGCUAGUACUGGAAUGUUGGCUCUCCAUGGUACUAGAUGAAAAUUUAAACCAACUAAACUUGUAAAAACGUCUGUAUGGUUGAUGCUUUGGACACGAAGUCGCACUUCGUCAGCUCCACCA